CGCGUUGGUAGUGUUGGGGAUACAUCGAAAUUCUAUAGAUACUAGAUAUAUCGUAUCGGAGUAUUGGCGUAUCGUCGAUAUAUCGGUGUAUCGGAUCGUAGAUGGUUAGAAUUGUGCGUUUGGAUUGUUGCAAUUGAAAUACCCGUUUAGCUCAAUGGUACGGUCUAGCGCUUCUGAGCUAUGUGAUUCUGUCAUUCUGAGUUCAGUGUUCCAGUCUCGCAUCAGAAUGCAUACAAAUACUAAAUUUUCUUAUGAUAAAGUAAUUGAAUAAUACAAUAGAGUUCCUCUUCACAGAAACACGAAUCUUCGAUCUAAUUGUUUUCUGAAAUAUCGGUAUUGAUUAGACAAUUUUCAGUGGUUUUAUAUUCUAUAACAAGGUAUAACACAGUCGGUUUGGGUGGUUGGUAUAAUCUGUGACUGCGAAUUGUAACAUUGAAAAUAGUAGGUUCUAUUCACAGGAAGUGAUUUUUACUUAUGUUUUUUUUUUAUUUCUCUUUUUUUUUGUAUCGGAAUGUAUCGAUAAAUCUGAAUUCAUGUCUUUCGUAGUUAACCACCAGUUUUUUGUAGGGGAUGGCUCAGUGGUACAGUAGUGCACAGCGAACUGGUAGUCUGAUGUUCGAUUCCAUAAACAUGCUCAUUUUGAGAUGUCAGUAGGAAUCAUAAGCAAAAUCUUUUUUGAAAUAAAUAUUUUAAUUUAAAAAUAUAUUUCGAAUCAUCGGUAUCGGUAUUUUUCAUGAAAUAUUGAUCUGCCUUAUUGCAAUUUAUGUAUCGUUUUCCUGGCUAGUUGGUAUAAUCUUAGACUGUGGUUGCAUAUACCCGGAGUUCAAAUCCGAGAAAAUUAGAUUUGAUAUUUUUGCUUUCUGAAUUUUGUUUUUGUUUUCCAUAUCAGAAUUAUCGACAAACCUAAAAUUGUGUAUUUUUUAGAUUGUAAAACAAAUUUAGCUUGGGUGGUUGGUAUAAUCUGUGACUGCGAAUUGUAACGUUGAAAGUAGUAGGUUCUAUUCACAGGAAGUGAUUUUUACUUAUGUUUUUUUUUAUUUCUCUUUUUUUGUAUCGGAAUGUAUCGAUAAAUCUGAAUUCAUGUCUUUCGUAGUUUACCACUAGUUUUUUUGUAGGGAAUGGCUCAGUGGUACAGAAGUGCACAGCGAAAACUGGUAGUCUGAUGUUCGAUUCCAUAAACAUGCUCAUUUUGAGAUGUCAGUAGGAAUCAUAAGCAAAAUCUUUUUUGAAAUAAAUAUUGCAAUUGAAAAAUAUAUUUCGAAUCAUCGGUAUCGGUAUUCUUCAUGAAAUUUUCAUCUGCCUUAUUGUAAAUUAUUUAUCGUUAUUAUGGUUAGUUGGUAUAAUCUUGGCCUGUGGGUGCAUAUUCCCGUAGUUCGAAUCCGGAAAUAUACAUUUUGGUUUUUUUGCUUUCUGAAUUUUUUUUUGUUUUCCGUAUCGGAAUUAUCGACAAACCUAAUACCAUAUCUUUUUUAGUUUGUAAAAUUAAUUUUAGUAAAAAUGGCAUAUCUGUUUGUAAGCGGGGAGUGGAUUUGUGGUCCGGGGCUCUAUUCUUGAAGAGAAUACUAAUACUACUAAAUAUAUACUAAUACUAAAUAAAAGCAAUGAAAACAUCUAUUAAUAAAUUUGCGAAUGUCAUAAUUAAAUAAUGUUUUGAAGUUUCGAAGAUAAAUUUUUAAAAUUGAAACAGAACUGUUUAUUAAUAUUAUGUGUUGUUUUGCAAAAGUUAAAUAGAAAUUCUGGAGCAUUGGUUCGAUCUGCGACUGGAAACAUGUACAUUAAGGGUUCAAAUCCGAAGAUGGAUUUUGUUUUUGAUUUUCUUUGUUUUCAAUAUUUUCCAUUUGCUCCUCGUAUCGAUACGUAUCGAUAUAUUGAACUUCAUCUCGUCCUAACUUCCCACUGAAUGAACAUGUAGUGGUGGCAAAAUGGUAUGGUGCCGGAUAGUGACACGGUAGUUGAUGGUUCAAAUCCCAAGAUUUUCGAGGAAAUGGACAUGUAAUAUUUCUGCUAGGUUGUUUUGUUAAAGAUAUCUGUACUGGAGGAUGAAGAGGAGGAUUCGUCAUAAAUCGGCAAUAAAAGUGUAUCUAUUAUACUAUAUAUUAUAUUGCCGCUUAUCGAGUUUUUAUUUCCACCGCUAGAUGGCGCUGAUCCGAUAUUCAGAUACAUCGGAAUCGGAUCGUAUCGAUAUCGAAUAUCUAAAAUUAUAGAUACAUCGCUGUAUCGGUAUCGGUAUCCCCAACACUACGCGUUGGCUGAGAUUAAAUUGGUCAAUGGCGGCAUGGCGGCAUGGCGGCGACGCGCAUUGGAACUUGGAAGUGGAUUCAUCAUGCAUGUGCGACAUGAUGUGGCGUUGCAUGUGGGAGCCCUGGGAGGCCCCGUUGACUGGUCUUUGAUGAUACGUGUGCACAGUGGUAGUGCUUGGGUUCCUCAAGAGGGAAUCGCAGAACAUAGCCAUAGAGCUAAACAGUAGUAUGUCCUUCAACAAUCUGUUGCGUCCAACCAUGGGAUGAGUCACAUGCAAGCCUAAGUCAACCAAACAGGGCAUCAAUAAUUGGUCAGCAAUGAAAUUAGUCAAUUGGAAGGAUUCCUUUUUUUCACAGAACUUUACCAUUUUCAUGGUAUACUUAAUUGCUUUUCGGUGGAUUGUCACUUGGCAUCAUUUGAAUGUGUUUGCAUUUCUUCAGGUAUGAUCCAUAUCAGCAGUGUUAUGAUGCACUUCUUAAAUACACCAAUCCAUGGAAAUAUUCUAAUUGAAAUUAUGGAAAUUUCUGCCCUUCUUGCAGAACUGCACAAUGAUGGGUUUGUAUAAACAAGCUUGAAAUAACAAACCAACAGUAUUUUUGGUUUGUCUCCCACAUACAACUCUAUGACAUGUUGAUGUUAGCUAAAUUGUUAUUAAUCCUAGGACUAGGUAGUACGAAUUGAAAUAUCUUCUCUCGGAAGUUUGGGUCUGAAUUUGUUUGAGAUGCCUCUUGAGGCAGGAAGCUUUUUCCUGCUUCUUACAAAAAGGGACAUUGGAUGCCUUGAUGUCUAAUACCAACCAAGUGUCAUUGCAAAGAUAGGUAAAAAAUAUAUCAAUAUAGAUUAUACUCUGAGUGAUGGUGACAUGGUAAUAAGAGAGCAGUAUAAAUAUUUGCUCCAUCGUUUAGUUCUAUUAUUUUAUCUUCAAGGUAUCUUAUUGACUUCUAUUGGUUUUAUUUGUGGAAAGAAUAUCUUGAGCGGGAGAAUUGGUUGGUGGACUAAAUGUUUUACUAUUUUAAAUGAGUUUAUCAUUAAGAAUUUUUUACUCAUUCAUGUUCUGUUUCUGUAAGUAGGUAGAACAAUCGCAAUGUCGUGGUAGUAAUUCGCGAGAGAUAUGCCAAUAGGGUUUCACUGUUUUCAAUUUGCAAUCGUAAUGGAUUCGAAGGGGAUAUUGAUGGCGUUUUGGUAUAAAAAAGCAUAAGUACAUGUUCGUUGGAAGGGCAACCGAAGAGUUCUAGAUCCUUUUACUAUCGCACAUGUCAUGGUAUUUUUACAAAAUCAUUGAAGUGCUUAUCUGGACCUUCUUGUUUUCUGUGGCCCCGUUUCCCCUUGACUUAUAUUAUUUUCUUUAACCCUUUAGUGCGUGUAAAACUAAAGGCUAAAAGAAGAAGAAUGAUUCAAAAAUUGUGUGAGAGAAUCAUCAAAGAAUUAUACUCGUUUAGGUAAUCCAAGGAAAUAAGAAAGAUUAUUAUCUCGG
RNAcentral lists this long non-coding RNA (3715 nucleotides) under Daphnia magna. RNAcentral's name for it is "uncharacterized LOC116916206, transcript variant X3". The record is from RNAcentral. Lineage: Eukaryota; Metazoa; Arthropoda; Branchiopoda; Diplostraca; Daphniidae.